UUGACCUCAAAUCGGGUGAGACUACCCGCUGGACUUAAGCAUAUCAAUAAGCGGAGGAAAAGAAACUAACAAGGAUU
Molecule: ribosomal RNA, 77 nt
Filed under: uncultured Lactarius
Lineage: Eukaryota; Fungi; Basidiomycota; Agaricomycetes; Russulales; Russulaceae
Description: partial 28S ribosomal RNA
Rfam family: Eukaryotic large subunit ribosomal RNA
Source: RNAcentral